This 468-nucleotide ribosomal RNA is filed under the name uncultured bacterium. Its description in RNAcentral is "partial 16S ribosomal RNA". It matches the Rfam family "Bacterial small subunit ribosomal RNA", at positions 28 to 507 of the family's 1533-position model. The record is from RNAcentral.
GACGAACGCUGGCGGCGUGCUUAACACAUGCAAGUCGAACGGAAAGGCCCUGCUUUUGUGGGGUGCUCGAGUGGCGAACGGGUGAGUAACACGUGAGUAACCUGCCCUUGACUUUGGGAUAACUUCAGGAAACUGGGGCUAAUACCGGAUAGGAGCUCCUGCUGCAUGGUGGGGGUUGGAAAGUUUCGGCGGUUGGGGAUGGACUCGCGGCUUAUCAGCUUGUUGGUGGGGUAGUGGUUUACCAAGGCUUUGACGGGUAGCCGGCCUGAGAGGGUGACCGGCCACAUUGGGACUGGGAUACGGCCCAGACUCCUACGGGAGGCAGCAGUGGGGAAUAUUGCACAAUGGGCGGAAGCCUGAUGCAGCAACGCCGCGUGCGGGAUCACGGCCUUCGGGUUGUAAACCGCUUUCGCCUGUGACGAAGCGUGAGUGACGGUAAUGGGUAAAGAAGCACCGGCUAACUACGUG